UCAGAUUUGAUCCUGCUCAGGAUGAACGCUAGCUACAGGCUUAACACAUGCAAGUCGAGGGGCAGCAUGGUCUUAGCUUGCUAAGGCUGAUGGCGACCGGCGCACGGGUGAGUAACACGUAUCCAACCUGCCGUCUACUCUUGGACAGCCUUCUGAAAGGAAGAUUAAUACAAGAUGGCAUCAUGAGUCCGCAUGUUCACAUGAUUAAAGGUAUUCCGGUAGACGAUGGGGA
Molecule: ribosomal RNA, 232 nt
Filed under: uncultured bacterium
Lineage: Bacteria
Description: partial 16S ribosomal RNA
Rfam family: Bacterial small subunit ribosomal RNA
Source: RNAcentral